RNAcentral lists this ribosomal RNA (397 nucleotides) under uncultured bacterium. RNAcentral describes it as "bacterial SSU rRNA". It matches the Rfam family "Bacterial small subunit ribosomal RNA", at positions 29 to 429 of the family's 1533-position model. The record is from RNAcentral.
AUUGAACGCUGGCGGCAUGCUUUACACAUGCAAGUCGAACGGCAGCACGGGGGCAACCCUGGUGGCGAGUGGCGAACGGGUGAGUAACACAUCGGAACGUGUCCAGUUGUGGGGGAUAACCCAUCGAAAGGUGGGCUAAUACCGCAUGAGCUGGCAACAGGAAAGCGGGGGACCCGCAAGGGCCUUGUGCGAUUGGAGCGGCCGAUGUCCGAUUAGCUAGUUGGUGGGGUAAAGGCCUACCAAGGCUUCGAUCGGUAGCUGGUCUGAGAGGAUGAUCAGCCACACUGGGACUGAGACACGGCCCAGACUCCUACGGGAGGCAGCAGUGGGGAAUUUUGGACAAUGGGGGCAACCCUGAUCCAGCCAUGCCGCGUGAGUGAAGAAGGCCUGGUGUAAG